CAGUCUCUCACUGGUCACCGGCUACACAGAGAGGGAAAACCCCCAUAGGAAUACAAGAACAUGACUCAGCUCGUUAACUAACCUUAGUCAAUUCAGCUAACGCUACUCGGCUAGCUGCUGAGUGGAAGAGUCAUCAUUGGAAAAACGGAUGUCAUAAUCUUUCCGGACAGGAAAAAUAUUUGGUUUUAGACAGAUUUACUUUCGGCUUCACAAUCAAGAACUCACCAGACUAUUUCAUCGAUGUGUGUCCUUGUGGGGCAAAGCAACGAUGGGAAAUACAUCAAUGGACUCUCCCAACAGCUUCUGCAUAGGAGAUUGUGGUGAGAUUAUACAUUCAAUCCAAUUGUCUGAUGAUAUGAAAUAAUACAUCAUGUACCAAUACAAGGUUUCUGUUUUGAUGAUAUUUCUAACACGGUUGUGUCUUUUACCCCCUUUAGAUAGAAAAGAUCUGAUUUGAAAAGAUCUGUGAUUGGUCGAAAUACUAAUUAGUGGAAAACAUAUCACAAAUUGGGCUGCCUGUGUAAAAAAAAAGAAGAAGCUAAUUUUAUAAUUUUUUAUUCACUUAAUGUACUUCACAUCAAGAAUAUCUGUUCCAGAAUCUUAAUGUACUUCACAUCAAGAAUAACUGUUCCAGAAUCUUACUUCACAUCAAGAAUAACUGUUCCAGAAUCUUAAUGUCCUUCACAUCAAGAAUAACUGUUCCAGAAUCUUAAUGUACUUCACAUCAAGAAUAACUGUUCCAGAAUCUUAAUGUCCUUCACAUCAAGAAUAACUGUUCCAGAAUAUUAAUGUAUUUCACAUCAAGAAUAACUGUUCCAGAAUCUUAAUGUCAUUCACAUCAAGAAUAACUGUUCCAGAAUAUUACUUCACAUCAAGAAUAACUGUUCCAGAAUCUUAUCACAUCUUUAUUUAAUAUAUCUGGAGCGCAAACUGGUUCGGUCUCCAACUCAUCAGAGAAUAAAGUAAUGUAAAUGGGUUUUGAAAAUAGGUUUUAUUUUUAAAUACGAAAAAAAUACAUAAAUUACAGCAUAUAUCCAAUACCAAAUAAAUAAAGAGAUAAACAUAAAAAAGGGGAAAUGUUUACAUUCUGUUGCCUAGCUACAGAGCCCAGUAGCCAUGUGAAAAGUGCAUGUCAACCAUGAUCCAGCUAAUGGUGAUAUUACACAGCUACUGAAGGGCUUGACCCCACUACAUGGCUGUGUUCCAGUGUCCAUAUGAGCAAAGUCUUGUAUCACACCCAUUUCAAUAUCUGCUGUUCUGUUCAUGUUAAUUAAUGUACCCUUAUUGUAAAGUGUUACCUAAUUGUUUUAUUCAUACAGAAAGGUUUCUAAAAAAAUAACAUUUAAAUACAUUUUUUGUCUCCAGACAGAACUGAUUAAAACUGUAUAGUCUAUGAAAUGACAUCAACCAAGAAACCAACCUCUUCACUCCAAAAUGAAUAGAAAAGGGGGUUGAAUGUGAGAGAGGGUUUGAGGUCAGAAAAGGCGGCCGGUAGUGCGGACUAAAUGGAGAAAAUGUUGGUGAAUCAACAGCUGUCCUGGAAUUUUGACAAUAUGGCUGUCAGUUCUGAUGGUAUGGUCGGUAGUGGAAAGACACAGGAAGAAGAGAGAUCAUGAUACAGAAAGACACAGGAAGAAGAGAGAUCAUGAUACAGAAAGGUAGACGUUAGUAGGGAUUUAUUUGUUUUUUUAUUUUCAAGGUAGUACAGAAUUGGGCAGAUAAUGAUUGAUCAUACAUUCCAGCACAGUAGGUGGCGGCAUGCACUUUAAACGUUUGUUUGCGGACCAGCCAUGAUAUCAUAGAAGAAGAAGAAGAAAAAAAUAUUAACCUUCAUGACAUCAUAGAAGAAGAUUUACCUUCAUGACAUCAUAGAAGAAGAAUAUUCACCUUCAUGACAUCAUAGAAGAAGAUUUACCUUCAUGACAUCAUAGAAGAAGAAGAUUUACCUUCAUGACAUCAUAGAAGAAGAAUAUUCACCUUCAUGACAUCAUAGAAGAAGAUUUACCUUCAUGACAUCAUAGAAUAAGAUUUACCUUCAUGACAUCAUAGAAGAAGAAGAAAUGAAUGAAAAUCAAAUGAUCCUGACACCAUCUAAAAUGGAUCUCAACUUAAAUGGGCCCUGACAGGAAUAUUUGGUGCAGGGUACCUUGCUCACUGCCUGUAAUUAUCAUUAUUUAACAUGAUGCAGGCUCUGGCAGUGAGCUACCCUGAAGGAGCAGAACCUAACACCAACACUAACGUAUUGCAAUCUUUCUAAUAAACGGUUAAACGAAUACGUGGCGUUUCCUGUCUGAGUUACACCAAACACAGAACAUUUUCCA
Salmo salar (Atlantic salmon) is the source of this 2321-nucleotide non-coding RNA. Lineage: Eukaryota; Metazoa; Chordata; Actinopteri; Salmoniformes; Salmonidae. The record is from RefSeq and is a predicted model, not a curated record.